Molecule: long non-coding RNA, 340 nt
Organism: Epinephelus fuscoguttatus (brown-marbled grouper)
Lineage: Eukaryota; Metazoa; Chordata; Actinopteri; Perciformes; Serranidae
Exons: 3
Source: RefSeq, a predicted model, not a curated record
GUACCAAUCAAUCAUUGCCUCCCCCAGUGUGUCUGCAAUGGAUCCACCUGCUGCGACAUUCCAAGAACUGACACCAAGAUGUUGUAUUAUUGUAUGGAAUUCGCCACGCAAAAAUCCCUCCUGUGCAAGACAGACUUCCCCCACAGUGUCAGCACCAAAUAGACAGAAAAGAUUCCAAAGGAAGAUGGUUAAUGUGUUUCUACAACUGAAGGACCAUGUGCAGCGGAUUGAGGCCUCACUAAGGACCAAGCAAGAUCCAGAAUGCUCCAUUGAGCAAUUAAAAAAUGAACAUGACGUGGCUAAUUUUGAGGAGAAAUUGAAAAAAAAGGCAACAAUGGAA